RNAcentral lists this ribosomal RNA (242 nucleotides) under uncultured Bacteroidota bacterium. Its description in RNAcentral is "uncultured Bacteroidetes bacterium partial 16S ribosomal RNA". It matches the Rfam family "Bacterial small subunit ribosomal RNA", at positions 796 to 1041 of the family's 1533-position model. The record is from RNAcentral. Lineage: Bacteria; Pseudomonadati; Bacteroidota.
CACACUGUAAACUAUGAUAACUAGCUGUUGGCGAUAGACUGUCAGUGGCGUAGCGAAAGCGUUAAGUUAUCCACCUGGGGAGUACGACCGCAAGGUUGAAACUCAAAGGAAUUGACGGGGGCCCGCACAAGCGGAGGAACAUGUGGUUUAAUUCGAUGAUACGCGAGGAACCUUACCCGGGCUCGAACGGUGAAUGACUGUAUGAGAGAUCAUACUUCUAUUUAUAGCAUUUAUCGAGGUGC